AAACAACGGAGAGUUUGAUCCUGGCUCAGGAUGAACGCUAGCGGCAGGCUUAACACAUGCAAGUCGAGGGGCAGCGGGGAGGAAGCUUGCUUUCUCCGCCGGCGACCGGCGCACGGGUGAGUAACACGUAUGCAACCUGCCCCUGUCAGGGGGACAACCCGCCGAAAGGCGGGCUAAACCCGCGUACAUGCCACCGGGGCAUCCCGGAGGCAGGAAAGGCUUCGGCCGGACAGGGAUGGGCAUGCGGCGCAUUAGGCAGUAGGCGGGGUAACGGCCCACCUAACCGACGAUGCGUAGGGGUUCUGAGAGGAAGGUCCCCCACACUGGUACUGAGACACGGACCAGACUCCUACGGGAGGCAGCAGUGAGGAAUAUUGGUCAAUGGUCGGGAGACUGAACCAGCCAAGCCGCGUGAGGGAGGAAGGUACAGAGUAUCGUAAACCUCUUUUGUCAGGGAACAAAGGCGGGGACGUGUCCCCGGAUGAGUGUACCUGAAGAAAAAGCAUCGGCUAACUCCGUGCCAGCAGCCGCGGUAAUACGGAGGAUGCGAGCGUUAUCCGGAUUUAUUGGGUUUAAAGGGUGCGCAGGCGGUCUGUUAAGUCAGCGGUCAAAGCCCGGGGCUCAACCCCGGCCCGCCGUUGAAACUGGCAGUCUCGAGUUGGAGAGAAGUAUGCGGAAUGCGCGGUGUAGCGGUGAAAUGCAUAGAUAUCGCGCAGAACUCCGAUUGCGAAGGCAGCAUGCCGGCUCCACACUGACGCUGAGGCACGAAAGCGUGGGUAUCGAACAGGAUUAGAUACCCUGGUAGUCCACGCAGUAAACGAUGAAUGCUGGCUGUCCGGGGGGAUUGACCCCUGGGUGGCGAAGCGAAAGCGAUAAGCAUUCCACCUGGGGAGUACGCCGGCAACGGUGAAACUCAAAGGAAUUGACGGGGGCCCGCACAAGCGGAGGAACAUGUGGUUUAAUUCGAUGAUACGCGAGGAACCUUACCCGGGCUCAAACGGGGAGUGACUCAGGCAGAGACGCCUGUUUCCCACGGGACACUCCCCGAGGUGCUGCAUGGUUGUCGUCAGCUCGUGCCGUGAGGUGUCGGCUUAAGUGCCAUAACGAGCGCAACCCCCGCGUGCAGUUGCUAACAGAUAACGCUGAGGACUCUGCACGGACUGCCGGCGCAAGCCGCGAGGAAGGCGGGGAUGACGUCAAAUCAGCACGGCCCUUACGUCCGGGGCGACACACGUGUUACAAUGGGUGGUACAGCGGGAAGCCAGGCGGCGACGCCGAGCGGAACCCGAAAUCCACUCUCAGUUCGGAUCGGAGUCUGCAACCCGACUCCGUGAAGCUGGAUUCGCUAGUAAUCGCGCAUCAGCCAUGGCGCGGUGAAUACGUUCCCGGGCCUUGUACACACCGCCCGUCAAGCCAUGGGAGCCGAGGGCGCUUGAAGUGCGUCGCCGCGAGGCGCGCCCUAGAGCGAAAUCGGUGACUGGGGCUAAGUCGUAACAAGGUAGCCGUACCGGAAGGUGCGGCUGGAACACCUCCUUUCUGGA
This 1541-nucleotide ribosomal RNA is filed under the name Bacteroidales bacterium. Its description in RNAcentral is "partial 16S ribosomal RNA". It matches the Rfam family "Bacterial small subunit ribosomal RNA". Lineage: Bacteria; Pseudomonadati; Bacteroidota; Bacteroidia; Bacteroidales. The record is from RNAcentral.